RNAcentral lists this unclassified non-coding RNA (304 nucleotides) under uncultured fungus. RNAcentral's name for it is "partial contains 5.8S ribosomal RNA, internal transcribed spacer 2, and large subunit ribosomal RNA". The stretch from base 1 to 52 matches the Rfam family "5.8S ribosomal RNA", at positions 103 to 154 of the family's 154-position model. RNAcentral also lists the same sequence under 1 other name. Lineage: Eukaryota; Fungi. The record is from RNAcentral.
AACGCACCUUGCGCUCCUUGGUAUUCCGAGGAGCAUGCCUGUUUGAGUGUCAUUAAAUUCUCAACCUUAUUAGCUUUUGCUGAUAAUGGCUUGGAUGUGGGGGUUUAUUUGCUGGCUUCUUCAUGAGAUCAGCUCCCCUUAAAUGCAUUAGCUGGUUGCCUUGUGCAGACUUGUCUAUUGGUGUGAUAAUUAUCUACGCCGUGGUCAGUCUGCCUGUCUUUAGCACCGCUUCUAACUGUCUGUUUACUCGGACACUUUAUGACAAUUUGACCUCAAAUCAGGUAGGACUACCCGCUGAACUUAA